UAUCCUCCAUGAUAAUGCCAUCUUCCUUAUGGCUGAUGUCUGCAAUCUGCUCACAAGAUGGGAUUGUGAAGUGCUGUACCAUCUAUCAUAUUCUAGAUCUUAUUCCCUAUGACUUUGAUUUAUUUCUUAAAUUCAAGGAACUUCUAGGAGGUAUUUGUUUCCAGACAGUUCCUGACAUUAUUCCUAUAGUCACCACUCCAUCCAUUACAUUGACACAUGCGGGGCUGUUGACGGCAUUAUGAAGCUACCAUAAUGAUAGAAAAAGGUCACAGACAGUGCUGGAGGCUAUACUGAGGAACUGUAAAAGUGAAUCUCUGCUAUGCCUUUCUUGUGCUAAUCUGUACUAUUGUGAUCACUAUUAAAUUUCCAAACCUUAUAGUUUCAGUGGGUGAUGUAUCAUAAAAUCACUCUAAACCAG
RNAcentral lists this long non-coding RNA (418 nucleotides) under Androctonus crassicauda. The record is from RNAcentral. Lineage: Eukaryota; Metazoa; Arthropoda; Arachnida; Scorpiones; Buthidae.